RNAcentral lists this ribosomal RNA (292 nucleotides) under uncultured bacterium. RNAcentral's name for it is "partial 16S ribosomal RNA". It matches the Rfam family "Bacterial small subunit ribosomal RNA", at positions 505 to 796 of the family's 1533-position model. The record is from RNAcentral.
GUGUCAGCAGCCGCGGUAAGACGAGGGAUCCUAGCGUUGUUCGGAAUCAUUGGGCGUAAAGCGGGUGUAGGUGGCUUUGUAAGUCGAGUGUGAAAGCCUGGGGCUCAACCCCAGAAGUGCAUUCGAUACUGCGAAGCUUGAGUGGUAGAGAGGUUAGUAGAAUUGUUGGUGUAGUGGUGAAAUACGUAGAUAUCAACAGGAAUACCGGAGGCGAAGGCGGCUAACUGGCUACACACUGACACUCAGACCCGAAAGUGCGGGGAUCAAACAGGAUUAGAAACCCCCGUAGUCC